RNAcentral lists this ribosomal RNA (401 nucleotides) under uncultured bacterium. Its description in RNAcentral is "bacterial SSU rRNA". It matches the Rfam family "Bacterial small subunit ribosomal RNA", at positions 32 to 404 of the family's 1533-position model. The record is from RNAcentral.
AAUCAACGCUGGCGGCGUGCCUCAGACAUGCAAGUCGAACGCGAAAUUUCCCUUCGGGGAGAAAGUAGAGUGGCGCACGGGUGAGUAACACGUAGGUAAUUUGCCUUUGGGUGGGGAAUAACUCAGGGAAACUUGAGCUAAUACCGCAUAAUGCAGCGGCUCGACAUCGAGACAGUUGUUAAAGCGGGGGAGUUGGAGCAAUCCGACCUCGCGCCUAAAGAGAAGCCUGCGGCAGAUUAGCUAGUUGGUAAGGUAAUGCUUACCAAGGCGACGAUCUGUAACCGGCCUGAGAGGGCGGGUCGGUCACACUGACACUGACAUACGGGUCAGACUCCUACGGGAGGCAGCAGUGGGGAAGUCUUGCGCAAUGGGCGAAAGCCUGACGCAGCGACGCCGCGUGA